UGUGAACUCGAAGAGUAGGGCGGGACACGUGGUAUCCUGUCUGAAUAUGGGGGGACCAUCCUCCAAGGCUAAAUACUCCUGACUGACCGAUAGUGAACCAGUACCGUGAGGGAAAGGCGAAAAGAACCCCGGCGAGGGGAGUGAAAAAGAACCUGAAACCGUGUACGUACAAGCAGUGGGAGCACCUUCGGGUGUGACUGCGUACCUUUUGUAUAAUGGGUCAGCGACUUAUAUUCUGUAGCAAGGUUAACCGUAUAGGGGAGCCGCAGGGAAACCGAGUCUUAACUGGGCGUUAAGUUGCAGGGUAUAGACCCGAAACCCGGUGAUCUAGCCAUGGGCAGGUUGAAGGUUGGGUAACACUAACUGGAGGACCGAACCGACUAAUGUUGAAAAAUUAGCGGAUGACUUGUGGCUGGGGGUGAAAGGCCAAUCAAACCGGGAGAUAGCUGGUUCUCCCCGAAAGCUAUUUAGGUAGCGCCUCGUGAACUCAUCUUCGGGGGUAGAGCACUGUUUCGGCUAGGGGGUCAUCCCGACUUACCAACCCGAUGCAAACUACGAAUACCGAAGAAUGUUAUCACGGGAGACACACGGCGGGUGC
This 598-nucleotide ribosomal RNA is filed under the name Klebsiella pneumoniae. RNAcentral's name for it is "partial 23S ribosomal RNA". It matches the Rfam family "Bacterial large subunit ribosomal RNA", at positions 398 to 998 of the family's 2925-position model. The record is from RNAcentral. Lineage: Bacteria; Pseudomonadati; Pseudomonadota; Gammaproteobacteria; Enterobacterales; Enterobacteriaceae.